RNAcentral lists this ribosomal RNA (450 nucleotides) under uncultured bacterium. RNAcentral's name for it is "bacterial SSU rRNA". It matches the Rfam family "Bacterial small subunit ribosomal RNA", at positions 329 to 795 of the family's 1533-position model. The record is from RNAcentral.
CUCCAGACUCCUACGGGAGGCAGCAGUGGGGGAUAUUGCACAAUGGGGGGAACCCUGAUGCAGCGACGCCGCGUGGGUGAAGAAGUAUUUCGGUAUGUAAAGCCCUAUCGGCAGGGAAGAAAUUGGACGGUACCUGACUAAGAAGCCCUGGCUAACUACGUGCCAGCAGCCGCGGUAAUACGUAGGGGGCAAGCGUUAUCCGGAUUCACUGGGUGUAAAGGGAGCGUAGACGGCCAUGCAAGCCUGGAGUGAAAGCCCGGGGCCCAACCCCGGGACUGCUCUGGGAACUGUGCGGCUGGAGUGCGGGAGGGGCAGGCGGAAUUCCUGGUGUAGCGGUGAAAUGCGUAGAGAUUAGGAAGAACACCAGUGGCGAAGGCGAUUCUCUGGACUGUAACUGACGCUGAGGCUCGAAAGCGUGGGGAGCAAACAGGAUUAGAUACCCCUGUAGUA